GAUGAAGAACGUAGCGAAAUGCGAUAAGUAAUGUGAAUUGCAGAAUUCAGUGAAUCAUCGAAUCUUUGAACGCACAUUGCGCCCGCUAGUAUUCUGGCGGGCAUGCCUGUCCGAGCGUCAUUUCAACCCUCAAGCCCCCGGGCUUGGUGUUGGGGAUCGGCGAGCCUCCGCGCCCGCCGUCCCCUAAAUCUAGUGGCGGUCUCGCUGUAGCUUCCUCUGCGUAGUAGCACACCUCGCACUGGGAAACAGCGCGGCCACGCCGUUAAACCCCCAACUUCUGAACGUUUGACCUCGGAUCAGGUAGGAAUACCCGCUGAACUUAAGCAUAUCAAAAGCGGAGGA
Molecule: unclassified non-coding RNA, 342 nt
Filed under: soil metagenome
Description: partial contains 5.8S ribosomal RNA, internal transcribed spacer 2, and large subunit ribosomal RNA
Rfam family: 5.8S ribosomal RNA (bases 1-120)
Source: RNAcentral